Molecule: long non-coding RNA, 409 nt
Organism: Photinus pyralis (common eastern firefly)
Lineage: Eukaryota; Metazoa; Arthropoda; Insecta; Coleoptera; Lampyridae
Exons: 3
Source: RefSeq, a predicted model, not a curated record
UAUUAUUAUCUUCAAGAAAUGUUUGCAGCCGCACAUUAACCAUUUUCUCUAGCAGUUUUCCCAAGCAAGACGUUAAACUAAUUGGGCGAUAACUUUGUGCCAGCAACGGAUCUUUUCCAGGUUUCGGUAUAGGAAUGACAACGGCCUGUUUCCAUUCCGAGGGGAGUACAGUGAUGAAACAUCUGGUUGUGGAUUUCGUCUUCUCCCGGUGAACAUGACUUGGUGUUACGGAUAGCGAUAUUCAACUCUUCUAAGACGACCACCACGGAACCAUUUUUGUUUUAUUGCCAGGUUUGGAUUUUGGAAUACUGGCGUUCGCAGCAUCUAAUAUAGCAGAUGUAAGAGUUUUUAAACUUAAGCUAUCUAGGGCUGGAGGGACGAACUUACUUGCAAAAAGUUCCCAAUCUGC